This 459-nucleotide ribosomal RNA is filed under the name uncultured Acidobacteriota bacterium. RNAcentral's name for it is "bacterial SSU rRNA". It matches the Rfam family "Bacterial small subunit ribosomal RNA", at positions 447 to 896 of the family's 1533-position model. Lineage: Bacteria; Pseudomonadati; Acidobacteriota. The record is from RNAcentral.
GAAACCCGCGGGGAUGAACUAUUCCCUGCGGCUGACGGUACCGCUAAAGGAAGCCCCGGCUAACUCCGUGCCAGCAGCCGCGGUAAUACGGGGGGGGCAAGCGUUGUUCGGAAUACUGGGCGUAAAGGGCUCGUAGGCGGCCAACUAAGUCGGAUGUGAAAUCCCCAGGCUCAACCUGGGAACUGCAUCCGAUACUGGAUGGCUUGAAUCCGGGAGAGGGAUGCAGAAUUCCAGGUGUAGCGGUGAAAUGCGUAGAUAUCUGGAGGAAUACCGGUGGCGAAGGCGGCAUCCUGGACCGGCAUUGACGCUGAGGAGCGAAAGCCAGGGGAGCAAACGGGAUUAGAUACCCCGGUAGUCCUGGCCCUAAACGAUGAAUGCUUGGUGUGACGGGUAUCGAUCCCUGUCGUGCCGAAGCUAACGCAUUAAGCAUUCCGCCUGGGGAGUACGGUCGCAAGGCUG